This 490-nucleotide ribosomal RNA is filed under the name uncultured bacterium. RNAcentral's name for it is "partial 16S ribosomal RNA". It matches the Rfam family "Bacterial small subunit ribosomal RNA", at positions 30 to 507 of the family's 1533-position model. The record is from RNAcentral.
AUUGAACGCUGGCGGCAGGCUUAACACAUGCAAGUCGAGCGGUAGCACAGGGGAGCUUGCUCCCUGGGUGACGAGCGGCGGACGGGUGAGGAAUGUCUGGGAAACUGCCUGAUGGAGGGGGAUAACUACUGGCAACGGUAGCUAAUACCGCAUAACGUCGCAAGACCAAAGAGGGGGAGCUAGGUGCCUCUUGCCAGCAGAUGUUCCCAGAUGGGAUUAGCUAGUAGGUGGGGUAAUGGCUCACCUAGGCGACGAUCCCUAGCUGGUCUGAGAGGAUGACCAGCCACACUGGAACUGGGACACGGUCCAGACGCCUACGGGAGGCAGCAGUGGGGAAUAUUGCACAAUGGGCGCAAGCCUGAUGCAGCCAUGCCGCGUGUGUGAAGAAGGCCUUCGGGUUGUAAAGCACUUUCAGCGAGGAGGAAGGUGGUGAACUUAAUACGUUCAUCAAUUGACGUUACUCGCAGAAGAAGCACCGGCUAACUCCGUG